RNAcentral lists this long non-coding RNA (1634 nucleotides) under Ananas comosus (pineapple). Its description in RNAcentral is "long non-coding RNA (ACOM_LNC025743)". The record is from RNAcentral. Lineage: Eukaryota; Viridiplantae; Streptophyta; Magnoliopsida; Poales; Bromeliaceae.
AAAAACCCGAACCCGAACCCGAAAAUUUAAACCCGAAACAAUUAUUUCUUUUUUCAAUAUUUCAAAAUAUAUUAUAUUAAACCUAAAUUUUUAAAAUACAAAUUCAAAUAUAACAUCAAAUUUUUAUAUAUAUAUUAUAUAUAAUACAAAAUAAAUUCGGGUUCGGGUCGGGUUUGGGUUCGGGUCGGGUACAAUCAAAAUCCAUAUCCGAAUCCAUAUCCGUCGGGUUUCUAUUUUUGAUAUCCAUAUCCGAAUCCAUAUCCAUAUCCAUCGGAUAUAUCCGUUUCAUUCGGGUUCGGGUUCGGAUAAAAUUUCGGGUAUCCAUACCCAUUGACAUCCCUAAUUGGGUCCCAGAGUGGAUUGAUUCCUCUCCCUACAUAGAAAAGGAUAUCUUAUUUGUUCAGAAAAUACUCUCUUUGCUGAGAAAAAAUUAACUGUAAAAGUGUGUGGAGCUUUGUACAGUGACAGUACAUGUCCUUUUUAUUUAUCCCAUAAUAAGAAGCUAAAAGCUGUGGAAGGUUGUGUGUCAUUUUCCGAAUGUUGCCCGCUUGUUUAGAGAAGCAUCAUUGGGUGCUUUCCCCUGCUUGAUUGGGACACUGCUACUGCACCUAAUCAUCAGUUUGUGUCUUCUUCUCUUCUUUUUCUUCUUUUAUCUCGCUUAAAACCCAAGUUUUUAUCGAUCUUUAGAUCGAAUUGUACGACGUCUCCUCAUCAUCGUCCUCACCCUCUUUCAAUCACUUGCUCAGUGGUCUGGUCCCCCUCGAUACUCUUAACCUUUGUAUUCCGUCGCAAUCUUACACUUCUGAUCCAAAAGAUUGCGAUGUAAGUUCGAAUUACUCGACGUCUCUGCAUCGUCCUCAACUUGUAAGGAAAUUGUAGCAAUCCUCACCCUUUUCAUGAAAUUCCUCAUUUGAAUUCGAUGGAAGUGCCCAAAUAGUCGCGAUAUAAGUUAUCUGAAAGCUAACCGGCUGUUAGGUAUGGUUGUGUUAGUACCAAUAAAGAAACGCCACGUGGAGAGCCGGCGCACGACUCAGCCAGGGGUUCCAAAGCUGGGGUUAAAUGAUAUUUGGUGCGUCGGGAGCAAAGAAUAAAUCACAGGAUAACCUCAAGCGGUUUUAACGGUUGGGAUCGGCUUGUAGUGGCCCACGAAAUUAGGAAAGUGGCCGAUCGUGUACAUAACCGAAUAACAAUGUGCGGAGUAUAAAUAGGCGAGUAAUUUCUGGAAGAGAGGUCUUUUUUUCCAGCGAACAGAAGACCACUUUUCAAUUUCUACGCAUUUUUCUUGUAUUUUUAGAAGUAGUCUACUUGUAAUCUUUUUCUUCUCCGCAUUUACUGUCUUUCUUAGGAGCAAUCUUUAAGUUAGAUUUUCAGAGUCCGUAUGCCUCACAGGCACACUCUCUUUUGUACAAGUUUUUAAGUUAAGUUUGAAUAUAUGAAGGCAUUCAGCUCUUCAGCCGACCGAAAUAUCUGUGCAGUCCGUACAUUCGGCUCAUUCAGUCGAACCGAUUCUACAAUAGAGGGUUUCGAACUCGGCUGAUCCGAUCGCUCAUCAGCCGAAUCGCUUGAUCCAGUCGAAGGGCGCAAACUUCGAGGAUCACUACGUGAGGCCGUAUUAAACCCCUACACGCUUCCCU